GAUGAACGCUGGCGGCGUGCCUAAUACAUGCAAGUCGAGCGAACAGACGAGGAGCUUGCUCCUCUGAUGUUAGCGGCGGACGGGUGAGUAACACGUGGAUAACCUACCUAUAAGACUGGGAUAACUUCGGGAAACCGGAGCUAAUACCGGAUAACAUGUUGAACCGCAUGGUUCAACAGUGAAAGACGGUCUUGCUGUCACUUAUAGAUGGAUCCGCGCCGCAUUAGCUAGUUGGUAAGGUAACGGCUUACCAAGGCAACGAUGCGUAGCCGACCUGAGAGGGUGAUCGGCCACACUGGAACUGAGACACGGUCCAGACUCCUACGGGAGGCAGUAGUAGGGAAUCUUCCGCAAUGGGCGAAAGCCUGACGGAGCAACGCCGCGUGAGUGAAGAAGGUCUUCGGAUCGUAAAACUCUGUUAUUAGGGAAGAACAAAUGUGUAAGUAACUAUGCACGUCUUGACGGUACCUAAUCAGAAAGCCACGGCUAACUACGUG
Molecule: ribosomal RNA, 497 nt
Filed under: uncultured bacterium
Lineage: Bacteria
Description: partial 16S ribosomal RNA
Rfam family: Bacterial small subunit ribosomal RNA
Source: RNAcentral